CACUGUAUAGCUGCCACAGCAUUAACCUUUUAAGUUAAAGAUAGGGAAGAUAUUUUCCUACAGUGA
RNAcentral lists this transfer RNA (66 nucleotides) under Presbytis sp. Pres2. Its description in RNAcentral is "tRNA-Lys". Lineage: Eukaryota; Metazoa; Chordata; Mammalia; Primates; Cercopithecidae. The record is from RNAcentral.